UACGUAGGGUGCAAGCGUUGUCCGGAAUUAUUGGGCGUAAAGAGCUCGUAGGCGGUUUGUCGCGUCUGCUGUGAAAACUCGAGGCUCAACCUCGAGACGCCGAUGGAAACCGUCUGGCUAGAGUCCGGAAGAGGAGAGUGGAAUUCCUGGUGUAGCGGUGAAAUGCGCAGAUAUCAGGAAGAACACCCGUGGCUAAGGCGGCUCUCUAGUACGGUACUGACGCUGAGACGCGAAAGCGUGGGGAGCGAACAGG
Molecule: ribosomal RNA, 253 nt
Filed under: uncultured bacterium
Lineage: Bacteria
Description: partial 16S ribosomal RNA
Rfam family: Bacterial small subunit ribosomal RNA
Source: RNAcentral